GCACUCACUUUGAUAGCACAAAUACUAAAAUUGGAACAAAACAGGGAAGAUUAGCAUGACCUCAUGAAGGAAGAAAAUUCAUGAGGAGUACAUAUUUUUU
This 100-nucleotide small nuclear RNA is filed under the name Microtus ochrogaster (prairie vole). The record is from RNAcentral. Lineage: Eukaryota; Metazoa; Chordata; Mammalia; Rodentia; Cricetidae.